GGGGAAUUUUGGACAAUGGGCGCAAGCCUGAUCCAGCAAUGCCGCGUGCAGGAUGAAGGCCUCCGGGUUGUAAACUGCUUUUGUACGGCACGAAAAGCCUCUCUCUAAUACAGGGGGGUGAUGACGGUACCGUACGAAUACGCACAGGCUAUCUCCGUGCCAGCAGCCGCGGUAAUACGUAGGGUGCAAGCGUUAAUCGGAAUGACUGGGCGUAAAGCGUGCGCAGGCGGUUUUGUAAGACAGUGGUGAAAUCCCCGGGCUCAACCUGGGAACUUCCAUUGUGACUGCAAGGCUGGAGUGCGGCAGAGGGGGAUGGAAUUCCGCGUGUAGCAUUGAAAUGCGUAGAUAUGCGGAGGAACACCGAUGGCGAAGGCAAUCCCCUGGGCCUGCACUGACGCUCAUGCUCGAAAGCGUGGGGAGCAAACA
Molecule: ribosomal RNA, 426 nt
Filed under: uncultured Comamonadaceae bacterium
Lineage: Bacteria; Pseudomonadati; Pseudomonadota; Betaproteobacteria; Burkholderiales; Comamonadaceae
Description: bacterial SSU rRNA
Rfam family: Bacterial small subunit ribosomal RNA
Source: RNAcentral